This 262-nucleotide ribosomal RNA is filed under the name uncultured bacterium. RNAcentral's name for it is "partial 16S ribosomal RNA". It matches the Rfam family "Bacterial small subunit ribosomal RNA", at positions 793 to 1055 of the family's 1533-position model. The record is from RNAcentral.
GUCCACGCCGUAAACGAUGUCAACUAGCCGUUGGGAGUCUUGAACUCUUAGUGGCGCAGCUAACGCAUUAAGUUGACCGCCUGGGGAGUACGGCCGCAAGGUUAAAACUCAAAUGAAUUGACGGGGCCCGCACAAGCGGUGGAGCAUGUGGUUUAAUUCGAAGCAACGCGAAGAACCUUACCAGGCCUUGACAUCCAAUGAACUUUCUAGAGAUAGAUUGGUGCCUUCGGGAGCAUUGAGACAGGUGCUGCAUGGCUGUCGU